Molecule: microRNA precursor, 89 nt
Filed under: Canis lupus familiaris (dog)
Lineage: Eukaryota; Metazoa; Chordata; Mammalia; Carnivora; Canidae
Also listed under: 1 other name
Description: mir-8799 microRNA precursor family
Rfam family: mir-8799 microRNA precursor family
Source: Rfam by way of RNAcentral
AGGGGGAGGCCGAAUCCUGGGCUGUGUCAGGCGCCCUGUGCUCCCAGUCUGCGUUGUUGGAUUUACGCUCCCAGGCCGCGCAGCCCCCU